Molecule: long non-coding RNA, 352 nt
Organism: Drosophila sulfurigaster albostrigata
Lineage: Eukaryota; Metazoa; Arthropoda; Insecta; Diptera; Drosophilidae
Exons: 2
Source: RefSeq, a predicted model, not a curated record
UUCCAAUUUCUCAUCACUUCUUGUACUCGGACCAGGAAUAACGAAACGUCGCUAUCAUGCGGUAAAGGCUGUAAAUACAAAUUUGGUCAUAAAAAGUUCUUUUACUGUGGACGGAAAACACUCAACACACACACUCACUAAUCCCUGACGGCACUUUUCACAAAACAUUUCGAGGUUUGGAUUUGGAUGAUGGAUGGGAUAGAUGGAUUAUGAAUACAUAUAUUUUUAAACGCUUCGCAAAAACAAAAACGCAACAGUUUAAUGAUCGAUGCAAGUACCAAGACUUUAUAGAUAUGCACACAAAGAGAGAGUGAGAUAGACAAAGGAGGGAGGGGUGUGGUGUGGGUGGGUU